CCUAAAGGCGUAAUGAAAGUAAAGGUCGACCUUGUGUCGAUUAAGGGAGGAUGAAUUGUCUAAUAAGCAAUUUCGCACUCCCGGGGCGUCUCAUUCUCAUUACGAGAAGAGGCGCACCUAGAGCGUACACGUUGGGACCCGAAAGAUGGUGAACUAUGCCUGGUCAGGACGAAGUCAGGGGAAACCCUGAUGGAGGUCCGUAGCGAUUCUGACGUGCAAAUCGAUCGUCGGAACUGGGUAUAGGGGCGAAAGACUAAUCGAACCAUCUAGUAGCUGGUUCCCUCCGAAGUUUCCCUCAGGAUAGCUGGCACUCGUUUUGUAUACGAGUCUCAUCUGGUAAAGCGAAUGAUUAGAGGCCUUGGGGCCGAAACGACCUCAACCUAUUCUCAAACUUUAAAUGGGUGAGAUCUCUGGCUUGCUUGAAUGUAUGAAGCCAUGAGAUUUCGGAUCAGAGUGCCAAGUGG
RNAcentral lists this ribosomal RNA (464 nucleotides) under Liobracon sp. BJS-2011. RNAcentral's name for it is "eukaryotic LSU rRNA". It matches the Rfam family "Eukaryotic large subunit ribosomal RNA", at positions 707 to 1129 of the family's 3401-position model. Lineage: Eukaryota; Metazoa; Arthropoda; Insecta; Hymenoptera; Braconidae. The record is from RNAcentral.